GGUUAUAACGGGUAACGGAGAAUCAGUGUUCGAUACCGGAGAGGGGGCCUUAGAAACGGCUACCACAUCUAAGGAAGGCAGCAGGCGCGCAAAUUACCCACUCUCAGAACGAGGAGGUAGUGAAUUUAAAUAGCGAUGAUGAACUCUUAUGAGGCUCGUCAAUCGAAAUGAGUACAAUUUAAAUCCUUUAACGAGUACCAAUUGGAGGGCAAGUCUGGUGCCAGCAGCCGCGGUAAUUCCAGCUCCAAUAGCGAAUAUUAAAUUUGUUGCAGUUAAAAAGCUCGUAGUUGGAUCCAAGGUUAGGCAUGCCUGUCUGUUCUUAGUAGCAUGACUGUGUGUGUCUGCCUUUAUUAGUUGAAUGUUCGUUAUGGUGGUCUUCAUCGACUGCUAUGAUGUGCUCAACACGUUUACCUUGAAAAAAUCAGAGCGAUCAAGGCAGGCCUUCGUGCUUGUAUGUUGUUGCAAGGAAUAAUAGAAUAGGACUUCGGUUCUAUUUUGUUGGUUUUGAGAAUUGAAGUAAUGAACAAUAGAGACAGUCGGGGGCAUUUGUAUGGUGGCGUUAGAGGUGAAAUUCUGAGAUCGUCGCCAGACAAACUACUGCGAAAGCAUUUGCCAAGGAUGUCUUCAUUAAUCAAGAACGAAAGUCAGAGGUUCGAAGACGAUCAGAUACCGUCCUAGUUCUGACCAUAAACGAUGCCGACCUACAAUCGGGGGUGGUUUAUUAUAUUGACCCUCCCGGCUGUCCUCAGGAAACUUUAAGUUGGUUCUGGGGGGAAUAUGGUCUCAAGACUGAAACUUAAAGGAAUUGACGGAAGGGCACCACCAGGAGUGGAGCCUGCGGCUUAAUUUGACCCAACACGGGGAAUCUCACCCGGUCCGGACACUGGUAGGAUGGACAGAUUGAUAGCUCUUUCUUGAUUCAGUGGGUGGUGGUGCAUGGCCGUUCUUAGUUGGUGGAGUGAUUUGUCUGGUUAAUUCCGAUAACGAACGAGACUCUGUCCUGCUAAAUAGUCCAGUGGCAUCAAUCACUAUGUGAUUACAGCUGCUGUUACUUCUUAGAGGGAUUCGCGGAUUUAAACCGCAAGAAAUAGAGCAAUAACAGGUCUGUGAUGCCCUUAGAUGUCCGGGGCCGCACGCGCGCUACAUUGACAGUAGAAGCGAGUAUUUCUACCUGGUUCGAAAGAAUUGGGAAAUCUUCGAAUUACUGUCUCCACAGGGAUUGAGGUUUGCAAUUUUGCCUCAUGAACGAGGAAUUCCCAGUAGGCGCAAGUCAUCAGCUUGCGUCGAUUACGUCCCUGCCCUUUGUACACACCGCCCGUCGCUACUACCGAUUAG
RNAcentral lists this ribosomal RNA (1335 nucleotides) under metagenome. RNAcentral's name for it is "SSU rRNA". It matches the Rfam family "Eukaryotic small subunit ribosomal RNA", at positions 348 to 1692 of the family's 1831-position model. The record is from RNAcentral.